Molecule: long non-coding RNA, 2269 nt
Filed under: Marmota monax (woodchuck)
Lineage: Eukaryota; Metazoa; Chordata; Mammalia; Rodentia; Sciuridae
Source: RNAcentral
CCUGCCCAACGCAGGAGGAGCCAUUGGGUGCCCCUGAAUGGCCGUCCUGGAGCUGCACCCCCAGGUGGACCUCUGUGCGUGGGCGCUGCCUCCCACAGGACCCUCUGGCUCCCAUUGCUGCCUGCAAGGUGGCUCUGCAGCCCGGCUAGCCGAGCCUCUCGGCUGAUGUCCCCCCAGCUCCCCUGCCGCGGGCACGGGAGCCCUGUUUCCCGUACUCCGUCUCCUGGGCCCGGUCAGCACAAGUUCACGGGCCAGGUUCAAAGGCCUCCCAGCUCCUUGGCCCUGAAAGAGCCAUUGGCCUCCCUGAGGUGGCCUCUCCUCUCCUGCCUCCCUCAGGGGACUGCUGAGGGCCAGGUAGCCGGGGAAGAUGAGCCAGAGCCAAGCAGGAGCGGUCAGAGCCGGGCCACGGGGUCUUCAACAGUUUCCUGCCAUCUGACGCCUUCCAAGGCGCCCAGACCACGGAGGAGACUGCCCGUGGGAGGUGGGGGUGAGACCGGUGAGGGCAUCCCGGCCCUGCAGCUGCCUCUUGGGGGGCAGGAUUCCACGCCACUGUAGGGCUGAGGGGACUAAGGAUCUGCAGGAGGGAGUCAGGGUCAUCUGGUCCAGGAAGAGGGGCAGCAAGAAGGAACAGAACAGAGGAGAGAGUGAGGGGGAGAAGUCAGACCUCGUCCUCUGCUCAGAGCUCCCCAGAAGCCAGGGAAACAGGGGGAAGUGGGGCUUGUGAGCUCCUCUCCCACGGGUACAGUUAGAAGCCAUCAGGUCUCGAUCCCAAAGCCUCCGUCCUGAGAGGGGCCUGGGACUGAGACCACAAGGAAUGCUAAUGCGGAUCCCUCCCUUCCUGAGCUGCCACUGAGCUGGGCUCGGCUUGGGCGCGGGUGGAACCCCAGCCCCUCUGACAGCACACUCCCAGGCCCUCCCCUUGUCCCCACAAUGCCUGGGAACUUGGGUGGGGGCCUCAGUGACACUCUGCCAACUGCACAGCUGAGAGGACGGGAGAGGCACUCGGGGCCUGGCUGAUCCCUUGCCCUGCAGUGUGCAUGAGGCCCUCCUUCUGGCCCCCCCGGCAGCUGGGCUCCCCGUUCCUGCAGACCUGGUAGGCUCCAGGAGCAAUCCAGGGUCUGGUGCUCCUGCGUGGCCGUCCCCACCACCCAGCGCCCUGACUUUGCCCGGAAGAACCCCUGGCUCAGGUUCCAGGAAGGGAGCCAGGCCUUGUCUGGUGACCACGAACUGCAGCCUCCAUUCGACCUACUGAGGCCACUCGACCAGGAGCCCAGCGGGGCCAGAGGCGCCUCCUCUGGUGACGGCCUUCUGAGGUCUGAGCUGGCUUUCAGGAGGGAGCCCCCAGGAGAGCCCGCAGGCUUCCACGGCCCAGUCCCCAGCACACGGCGCCCCCUCCCCUUCCUUUGAGGGGAGGGGACCAGAAGCCGCCCUUGGUGGGGACCUAGAAAGGGUCUGGAGCAGUGGAGGGACGACACCACAGGCGCCCAAGGCAGGAGGAGAGCUGCUGCUCUGGCCGGUCCCUCCCGUCCUGCCCUAUGGGAACGUUCUAGUGGUUGGUUCUUCAGAGCCUGGCCCUACUCCCCUUUGUCUCCAGACCGCGCUGUCCACCCUGGCAGACCCUGGACGGCCAGCAGGCCCUGCGUGAGGCCCUGUGCUCAGCCUCUGCGGGGGUGCAGUGGGUCCGGCCUCUCCAGGUCUGCACACGCUGCCCCUUGUGCCCCUCAGGCCAGUGGGCCCUGGAGCUUCUCCUGACCUUCGUCCUUCAUUAACCCUCUGAAAUGACCCGAGCUGAGGUCACAGUCUGUUUCUCACCAUUACUGGAGAGGGUGGCCAGCCGUCCCCGAGGCCCUGAGUCACCCCAGGUCCUGGCCUGGGGCUGGCCUGAGCCUCCUUCUUGGUGGCUUGACCCUUAAGACUCCCACAGAAAAGUCUGCGUAGAGGUGGCCACUGCCUGAGCUCCUCGGUGGGGACAGGCUGAAUGUUUUAACUCCAGCAAGACCGGGCCCAGUGGGGGGACCGGCGCCAGCCAGACAGCUGAGUAAACAGCCCUGGUCACGUUUCCAGGCCCCCUGCAGCCCGGCUGCCCCACAGGACUGGAGGCCACUCCAGGCCAAGGGCGGGGCUGAGUCCUCUGUGGAGAUGGCUCUGGUCCUGGGUCCCGGAGCCGGCACCUCCCAGCGCGUGACCCGAGGAGGGGCUGCCUGCCCUGGUGGCGCGUCGGACCCUGCACCGGGGCUCAGCUCUGCUGCUCUUCCUCUGGGACCUCAUU